This 351-nucleotide ribosomal RNA is filed under the name uncultured bacterium. Its description in RNAcentral is "bacterial SSU rRNA". It matches the Rfam family "Bacterial small subunit ribosomal RNA", at positions 917 to 1264 of the family's 1533-position model. The record is from RNAcentral.
GGACCCGCACAAGUAGUGGAGCAUGUGGUUUAAUUCGAAGAUACGCGCAGAACCUUACCAACACUUGACAUGUUCGUCGCGACUUUAAGAGAUUAAAGUUUUCGGUUCGGCCGGACGAAACACAGGUGCUGCAUGGCUGUCGUCAGCUCGUGUCGUGAGAUGUUGGGUUAAGUCCCGCAACGAGCGCAACCCUCACUUUUAGUUGCCAUCAUUUAGUUGGGCACUCUGAAAGAACUGCCAGUGAUAAGCUGGAGGAAGGUGGGGAUGACGUCAAGUCCUCAUGGCCCUUACGUGUUGGGCUACACACGUGCUACAAUGGCAUUUUACAAUAGGAAGCAAGACUGCGAAGUU